Molecule: non-coding RNA, 74 nt
Organism: Danio rerio (zebrafish)
Lineage: Eukaryota; Metazoa; Chordata; Actinopteri; Cypriniformes; Danionidae
Source: Rfam
GUCUCUGUGGCACAAUAAGUUAGCGCGUUUGGCUGUUAACUGAAAGGUUGGUGGUUCAAGCCCACCUAGGGACG